This 253-nucleotide unclassified non-coding RNA is filed under the name uncultured cyanobacterium. RNAcentral's name for it is "contains 16S-23S intergenic spacer region". It matches the Rfam family "Bacterial small subunit ribosomal RNA", at positions 524 to 776 of the family's 1533-position model. The record is from RNAcentral. Lineage: Bacteria; Bacillati; Cyanobacteriota.
GACGUAGGGUGCAAGCGUUGUCCGGAUUUAUUGGGCGUAAAGAGUUCGUAGGCGGUUACUUAAGUCUGGUGUUAAAGACUGGAGCUCAACUCCAGCAUGGCAUCGGAAACUGGGUGGCUAGAGUGCGGUAGAGGUAUCGGGAAUUCCAGGUGUAGCGGUGAAAUGCGUAGAUAUCUGGAGGAACACCAGUGGCGAAAGCGCGAUACUAGGCCGUAACUGACGCUGAGGAACGAAAGCCAGGGUAGCAAAAGGG